CAGGACUGUGUCUCAAACAAACCCAGCCUCGAGGGGUUCUUUCCGAGGGGACAACAGGAGCAGAAAAGCAGACCAACGACGCGGAGGCUGUAACCAGGAAAUAUCUUUAAAAUUUUGCCUCUGGGAUUGUGCUUGGAAAAUGCUACAGAAAUGUCAGAGAUAAAGAAGAAAACCACUAAAGUUUCUCUGACUAUCAGUUCCCCAGUUAAUGAAACGACCAACAUCAGAUCAAGUUAUUCUACCUUAGUUCAACCAUUGUGUAUUGACCCCCAGAGGAUGCAGAGUCCCUGCAGCAGCCUGUCAGGAGCCACUUGUGGUGUAGCUCCUGAGUUUACCAAG
This is a non-coding RNA of Manis javanica (Malayan pangolin), 339 nucleotides long. Lineage: Eukaryota; Metazoa; Chordata; Mammalia; Pholidota; Manidae. The record is from RefSeq and is a predicted model, not a curated record.